GGAUGUGAGGGUGAUCUGGCUGCAACAUCUAUCACCCUGUUGAUUGCCAGGGUUGAUUUGGAUGAUCUAGCUGGCUAGGUAGGUGUCCCCUUCCUCCCUCAGUGCUCCAUGUGUGUUCCUCCUGAAGCUGUGUGCUUAGUCAAAGAGCACGACCACCCCCGAUACAGGGUGACCGUUCCUCAGUCAAGGGUGUACAAGUAGCUACACUCCCCUGCUGGAACCUCCAAACAAGCUCUCAAGAAAUAUACUAGUGUUGGAAAUAAAGAAUUAAAAUUUUCAUUACAUUUAAAAAAGCCCCUACAAUACCAGCAAAAAAAUUAUGGAAUUAUU
Molecule: small nuclear RNA, 330 nt
Filed under: Chinchilla lanigera (long-tailed chinchilla)
Lineage: Eukaryota; Metazoa; Chordata; Mammalia; Rodentia; Chinchillidae
Description: 7SK RNA (ENSCLAG00000021650.1)
Rfam family: 7SK RNA
About the family: 7SK was discovered as an abundant small nuclear RNA in the mid-70s but a possible function has only recently been suggested. Two independent studies have found that 7SK RNA binds the CDK9/cyclin T complex (known as elongation factor P-TEFb).
Source: RNAcentral